GGCCCUACGGGGCGCAGCAGGCGCGAAACCUCUGCAAUGCGGGAAACCGUGACAGGGGGAUCCCAAGUGCUCAUGCAUUGCAUGGGCUGUUCUUUGGUCUAAGUAACCAGAGGAGUAAGGGCUGGGCAAGACCGGUGCCAGCCGCCGCGGUAAUACCGGCAGCUCAAGUGGUAGCCGCGAUUAUUGGGCCUAAAACGUUCGUAGCCGGAUAAGUAAGUCUUUGGUUAAAUCCUGCGACUCAACCGUGGGAAUUCUAGAGAUACUGCUCGUCUUGAGACCGGGAGAGGUUGGAGGUACUCCUAGGGUAGGGGUGAAAUCCUGUAAUCCUAGGGGGACCACCUGUGGCGAAGGCGUCCAACUGGAACGGGUCUGACGGUGAGGGACGAAACCUAGGGGAGCGAGCCGGAUUAGAUACCCGGGUAGUCCUAGGCGUAAAUGAUGCGAGUUAAGUGUGGGGGCAUCUACGAGAUGGCCCUGUGCUGUAGGGUAGCCGUUAAACUCGCUGCCUGGGGAGUACGGUCGCAAGGCUGAAACUUAAAGGAAUUGGCGGGGGAGCACCACAAGAGGUGGAGGCUGCGGUUCAAUUGGACUCAACGCCGGAAAACUCAUC
Molecule: ribosomal RNA, 610 nt
Filed under: uncultured archaeon
Lineage: Archaea
Description: bacterial SSU rRNA
Rfam family: Archaeal small subunit ribosomal RNA
Source: RNAcentral